CCUACGGGAGGCAGCAGUGGGGAAUAUUGGGCAAUGGAGGAAACUCUGACCCAGCAACGCCGCGUGAAGGAUGAAGGUUUUCGGAUUGUAAACUUCUGUUGCGAGGGAUGAAGAAUGACGGUACCUCGUGAGGAAGCCCCGGCAAACUACGUGCCAGCAGCCGCGGUAAUACGGAGGAUGCGAGCGUUAUCCGGAUUUAUUGGGUUUAAAGGGUGCGUAGGCGGAAUGCCAAGUCAGCGGUAAAAUCGCGGGGCUCAACCUCGCUCCGCCGUUGAAACUGGCGUUCUUGAGUGGGCGAGAGGUAGGCGGAAUGCGUGGUGUAGCGGUGAAAUGCAUAGAUAUCACGCAGAACUCCGAUCGCGAAGUCAGCCUACCGGCGCCCAACUGACGCUGAUGCACGAAAGCGUGGGUAUCGAACAGGAUUAGAUACCCCAGUAGUC
RNAcentral lists this ribosomal RNA (440 nucleotides) under uncultured bacterium. RNAcentral's name for it is "partial 16S ribosomal RNA". It matches the Rfam family "Bacterial small subunit ribosomal RNA", at positions 338 to 795 of the family's 1533-position model. The record is from RNAcentral.